AUCCAUUCAGAGAUGUUCUAUGCAAUUGCACUCAAGAUAUUCUGUUACUGCAGCACCAAUGGAUGAGGAUAGGGAAUGACUGAGCCAUAAGAUGAAAGGAUUCUGGGAUUUAAUUGGCCUCCAAGUUGAGCUAACAAUUGAGUCUCUGGAAUCUGUUAAAGGACAAGAUCUCAUCGCUAAGAUAAAUAUAACUCUGUACAUUAACCAUUAAGAAAUUAUCUACACUUGAACAUGGGCCAUUGUCCAAUGAAGACACUGAGAGACAAAGAAAAAAAUACUCUAUGAAGGCUAAGAUUGUAAGGGUUAAUAAAAAGAAUCAAAGACACAUGGCUAAAAACUCAGAAGGUGGAAAAGGUAUAAUUAAAGCAACUUCAUGAUUAUUUUCAAAGGAACUUCAAUGAAAUAGCAACUCUAUAUCUUGCCAACAAUGUAGGGUAAAACACAAA
Long non-coding RNA from Homo sapiens (human), 446 nucleotides. RefSeq lists it as uncharacterized. The record is from RefSeq and is a predicted model, not a curated record. The transcript has 3 exons. Lineage: Eukaryota; Metazoa; Chordata; Mammalia; Primates; Hominidae.